GCUCCCGUAGCCUAGUGGUAAGAGCGUCAGCUUCUGAUGUGAGAGGUCGAGGUUUGAGACCCCAGCGGAUGCA
This is a non-coding RNA of Potamilus streckersoni, 73 nucleotides long. NCBI's taxonomy places the organism in Eukaryota, Metazoa, Mollusca, Bivalvia, Unionida, Unionidae. The record is from the annotation of a GenBank genome assembly.